This 83-nucleotide small RNA is filed under the name Marmota monax (woodchuck). The record is from RNAcentral. Lineage: Eukaryota; Metazoa; Chordata; Mammalia; Rodentia; Sciuridae.
GCUGGGCUUGCUGGCGCAGGCCUGUAAUCCCAGCAACUCAGGAAGCUGAGGCAGGAGGAUCAAAAGUUCAGAGCCAGCCUCAG